CCCCUAGAUGUUCUGGGCCGCACGCGCGCUACACUGAACAGUUCAACAAGUCUUAACCUUGGCCGAUAGGUCUGGGUAAUCUUUGAACGCUGUUCGUGAUUGGGAUAGACCUUUGCAAUUAUGGGUCUUCAACGAGGAAUUCCUAGUAAACACAAGUCAUCAGCUUGCAUUGAUUACGUCCCUGCCCUUUGUACACACCGCCCGUCGCACCUACCGAUUGAAUGGUCCGGUGAAAUCUCGGGACGGCGGCUUGGUCGCUUGCGUCCGACUGCUGAAACUUGAUUAAACCAUAUCAUUUAGAGGAAGGUGAAGUCGUAACA
RNAcentral lists this ribosomal RNA (320 nucleotides) under uncultured eukaryote. RNAcentral describes it as "partial 18S ribosomal RNA". It matches the Rfam family "Eukaryotic small subunit ribosomal RNA", at positions 1470 to 1796 of the family's 1831-position model. The record is from RNAcentral.